This 1382-nucleotide long non-coding RNA is filed under the name Bemisia tabaci. Its description in RNAcentral is "lncRNA ENSSWEETPG012771". Lineage: Eukaryota; Metazoa; Arthropoda; Insecta; Hemiptera; Aleyrodidae. The record is from RNAcentral.
CGACUGAAACAGGGCAGGGGAGUAGUGAAAUAGAUGAACUCAAAGCAGAAAUCAAGAAGCUUCGUGAAGAAAAACAGCAGCUGACUCAGACUGUUACGGCUCUGGAAACUGAGUUAGAACUAUCACACAGAUUGUUGCAAGAAAUAACAGUAAGUACCAAAAUUAAUUUCUAAUGGCGUUUUAAUGAUAAACUUCCAACUUCUGUGUCUGGAAUUUCAGCAGGCAUCAUAUCAUAACCUGAACAAAUUUUUAGUUGUAGAUCUGUGAUUGAAAAUUUUGUCCAUUUAGACUUAGUCCUAAGCCUUUUGUCCGAAACGGCCAGCUAGUACUAUGCUGCCUGAGGCCUCUUCAGGGUGUUAGCGUCUUGCCAAGUAGGAAAUAGAAGUGGAGGUAAUAAAUGUCAAUUAUUCUCAUUAAUUUUUUAAAAAAUCUAAUUAAUUUUUUUUUAGGAAAUGCAAGGCAGUUUGAAGAAUUGCAGGCUGAAGUUGUGCGAUUGCAAAAUGAAAAUGGGCGUCUCAAUAGAGAAAAACUUGAGUUGGAGCAAAUCGUUGCUGCCAGCCAAGAUGAAAACUCAAAUCUAUCCACUGGCAUCGAACUGGAUUUGCAGCAUCAAAGGGAUCUUGAGCAACUAAUAGCAGCUAAAGAUUCCACUCAAAGGAAGUACAACCAGCUGAAAGAAGACUUUGAUAUAAUGAAGUCGCAGUUUGAAGAAUUUCGACAGAUCCGAGUGAAAACAACUUCAACUGCAUCUCAAUCCUCCUACGACUGUGCCUCCGUUUUAUCUCAGACCUGUGAUGAGAUUUUGUCUGCUGUUGCAUCAACAAGUUCUCAAACGAUGAGUGACAAUCCAUCCUCCAGUUCUCAGACUGUCAAUGAGUCCUCAUCGAUGUCCUCGCAAACCACUAUCCAGAGUGUUGGUGCCUCAUCUCAAACAGUCAACGACAAUCCUUCUGCUUCAUCCCAAACAAAUGGUGUUUCUAGUUCCUAUGCUGCCUCACAAACAACAUUUGCUGAGGUGUCUAAUGUUGAUGUUACUAGGAGGCACACUGAUUCAGAAUCUAGUGAAGAGGAGUGCAGUUUCCGCGAUCUGAAAAUGUUUUGGACUCAGUUCCAUUUAAGAUUCCUGAGCAAUUUGUCAACAAAACUCCAGAUGAUGGAUCAAAAAUAAUUCAGGAUAUUAAAGCUCUGACUUCCAUGUGUCUCAAUCUGCAAGAAAAUGAGAAAAAAUUAGCUGCUGAAUUGAUGGAGAAAUCAGAAGAAGUGUUUUAUUGAGAGCAAAAGUGGAAGAGGCUACAAAAAAGAUGACUUUGGUUGAAGAAGAACUGGCUGACUUCGAGCAGAAAGAAACUGAUUGGCAAGAGACGGAACAAAAACAGAAAGUG